GGGUUGUGAGGUUAAGCGACUAAGCGUACACGGUGGAUGCCCUGGCAGUCAGAGGCGAUGAAGGACGUGCUAAUCUGCGAAAAGCGUCGGUAAGGUGAUAUGAACCGUUAUAACCGGCGAUGUCCGAAUGGGGAAACCCAGUGCAAUUCGUUGCACUAUCGUUAACUGAAUACAUAGGUUAACGAGGCGAACCGGGGGAACUGAAACAUCUAAGUACCCCGAGGAAAAGAAAUCAACCGAGAUUCCCCCAGUAGCGGCGAGCGAACGGGGAGCAGCCCAGAGUCUGAAUCAGCUUGUGUGUUAGUGGAACGGUCUGGAAAGUCCGACGGUACAGGGUGAUAGUCCCGUACACCAAAAUGCACAGGCUGUGAACUCGAAGAGUAGGGCGGGACACGUGGUAUCCUGUCUGAAUAUGGGGGGACCAUCCUCCAAGGCUAAAUACUCCUGACUGACCGAUAGUGAACCAGUACCGUGAGGGAAAGGCGAAAAGAACCCCGGCGAGGGGAGUGAAAAAGAACCUGAAACCGUGUACGUACAAGCAGUGGGAGCACCUUCGGGUGUGACUGCGUACCUUUUGUAUAAUGGGUCAGCGACUUAUAUUCUGUAGCAAGGUUAACCGUAUAGGGGAGCCGCAGGGAAACCGAGUCUUAACUGGGCGUUAAGUUGCAGGGUAUAGACCCGAAACCCGGUGAUCUAGCCAUGGGCAGGUUGAAGGUUGGGUAACACUAACUGGAGGACCGAACCGACUAAUGUUGAAAAAUUAGCGGAUGACUUGUGGCUGGGGGUGAAAGGCCAAUCAAACCGGGAGAUAGCUGGUUCUCCCCGAAAGCUAUUUAGGUAGCGCCUCGUGAACUCAUCUUCGGGGGUAGAGCACUGUUUCGGCUAGGGGGUCAUCCCGACUUACCAACCCGAUGCAAACUACGAAUACCGAAGAAUGUUAUCACGGGAGACACACGGCGGGUGCUAACGUCCGUCGUGAAGAGGGAAACAACCCAGACCGCCAGCUAAGGUCCCAAAGUCAUGGUUAAGUGGGAAACGAUGUGGGAAGGCACAGACAGCCAGGAUGUUGGCUUAGAAGCAGCCAUCAUUUAAAGAAAGCGUAAUAGCUCACUGGUCGAGUCGGCCUGCGCGGAAGAUGUAACGGGGCUAAACCAUGCACCGAAGCUGCGGCAGCGACACUAUGUGUUGUUGGGUAGGGGAGCGUUCUGUAAGCCUGCGAAGGUGUGCUGUGAGGCAUGCUGGAGGUAUCAGAAGUGCGAAUGCUGACAUAAGUAACGAUAAAGCGGGUGAAAAGCCCGCUCGCCGGAAGACCAAGGGUUCCUGUCCAACGUUAAUCGGGGCAGGGUGAGUCGACCCCUAAGGCGAGGCCGAAAGGCGUAGUCGAUGGGAAACAGGUUAAUAUUCCUGUACUUGGUGUUACUGCGAAGGGGGGACGGAGAAGGCUAUGUUAGCCGGGCGACGGUUGUCCCGGUUUAAGCAUGUAGGCUGGUUGUCCAGGCAAAUCCGGAUAAUCAAGGCUGAGGUGUGAUGACGAGGCACUACGGUGCUGAAGUAACAAAUGCCCUGCUUCCAGGAAAAGCCUCUAAGCAUCAGGUAACAUCAAAUCGUACCCCAAACCGACACAGGUGGUCAGGUAGAGAAUACCAAGGCGCUUGAGAGAACUCGGGUGAAGGAACUAGGCAAAAUGGUGCCGUAACUUCGGGAGAAGGCACGCUGGUGUGUAGGUGAAGUCCCUGCGGAUGGAGCUGAGACCAGUCGAAGAUACCAGCUGGCUGCAACUGUUUAUUAAAAACACAGCACUGUGCAAACACGAAAGUGGACGUAUACGGUGUGACGCCUGCCCGGUGCCGGAAGGUUAAUUGAUGGGGUUAUCCGUAAGGAGAAGCUCUUGAUCGAAGCCCCGGUAAACGGCGGCCGUAACUAUAACGGUCCUAAGGUAGCGAAAUUCCUUGUCGGGUAAGUUCCGACCUGCACGAAUGGCGUAAUGAUGGCCAGGCUGUCUCCACCCGAGACUCAGUGAAAUUGAACUCGCUGUGAAGAUGCAGUGUACCCGCGGCAAGACGGAAAGACCCCGUGAACCUUUACUAUAGCUUGACACUGAACAUUGAGCCUUGAUGUGUAGGAUAGGUGGGAGGCUUUGAAGCGUGGACGCCAGUCUGCGUGGAGCCAACCUUGAAAUACCACCCUUUAAUGUUUGAUGUUCUAACGUUGGCCCCUGACCGGGGUUGCGGACAGUGUCUGGUGGGUAGUUUGACUGGGGCGGUCUCCUCCCAAAGCGUAACGGAGGAGCACGAAGGUUAGCUAAUCCUGGUCGGACAUCAGGAGGUUAGUGCAAUGGCAUAAGCUAGCUUGACUGCGAGCGUGACGGCGCGAGCAGGUGCGAAAGCAGGUCAUAGUGAUCCGGUGGUUCUGAAUGGAAGGGCCAUCGCUCAACGGAUAAAAGGUACUCCGGGGAUAACAGGCUGAUACCGCCCAAGAGUUCAUAUCGACGGCGGUGUUUGGCACCUCGAUGUCGGCUCAUCACAUCCUGGGGCUGAAGUAGGUCCCAAGGGUAUGGCUGUUCGCCAUUUAAAGUGGUACGCGAGCUGGGUUUAGAACGUCGUGAGACAGUUCGGUCCCUAUCUGCCGUGGGCGCUGGAGAAUUGAGGGGGGCUGCUCCUAGUACGAGAGGACCGGAGUGGACGCAUCACUGGUGUUCGGGUUGUCAUGCCAAUGGCACUGCCCGGUAGCUAAAUGCGGAAGAGAUAAGUGCUGAAAGCAUCUAAGCACGAAACUUGCCCCGAGAUGAGUUCUCCCUGAGACUUUAAGUCUCCUGAAGGAACGUUAAAGACGAUGACGUUGAUAGGCCGGGUGUGUAAGCGCAGCGAUGCGUUGAGCUAACCGGUACUAAUGAACCGUGAGGCUUAACCUUACAACGCCGAAG
RNAcentral lists this ribosomal RNA (2923 nucleotides) under Klebsiella pneumoniae. RNAcentral describes it as "bacterial LSU rRNA". It matches the Rfam family "Bacterial large subunit ribosomal RNA". The record is from RNAcentral. Lineage: Bacteria; Pseudomonadati; Pseudomonadota; Gammaproteobacteria; Enterobacterales; Enterobacteriaceae.